UACGUAGGGUGCAAGCGUUGUCCGGAAUCAUUGGGCGUAAAGAGCGUGUAGGCGGCCUUUUAAGUCCUGCGUGAAAUCCUGCGGCUCAACCGCAGACGGUCGUGGGAAACUGGAAGGCUAGAGUGCGGGAGAGGAGAGUGGAAUUCCCGGUGUAGCGGUGAAAUGCGCAGAUAUCGGGAAGAACACCCGUGGCGAAGGCGGCUCUCUGGAACGCAACUGACGCUGAGACGCGAAAGCGUGGGGAGCAAACAGG
Molecule: ribosomal RNA, 253 nt
Filed under: uncultured bacterium
Lineage: Bacteria
Description: partial 16S ribosomal RNA
Rfam family: Bacterial small subunit ribosomal RNA
Source: RNAcentral